CGGUUUGGAAACAGACCUUUCGCAAGACAGUUUACAAGGUGCUGCAUGGUUGUCGUCAGCUCGUGCCGUGAGGUGUCAGGUUAAGUCCUAUAACGAGCGCAACCCCUGUUGUUAGUUGCCAGCGAGUGAUGUCGGGAACUCUAACAAGACUGCCAGUGCAAACUGUGAGGAAGGUGGGGAUGACGUCAAAUCAUCACGGCCCUUACGCCUUGGGCUACACACGUGCUACAAUGGCCGGUACAGAGAGCAGCCACUGG
RNAcentral lists this ribosomal RNA (257 nucleotides) under Flavobacterium potami. RNAcentral's name for it is "partial 16S ribosomal RNA". It matches the Rfam family "Bacterial small subunit ribosomal RNA", at positions 996 to 1256 of the family's 1533-position model. The record is from RNAcentral. Lineage: Bacteria; Pseudomonadati; Bacteroidota; Flavobacteriia; Flavobacteriales; Flavobacteriaceae.